Molecule: ribosomal RNA, 781 nt
Filed under: uncultured archaeon
Lineage: Archaea
Description: bacterial SSU rRNA
Rfam family: Archaeal small subunit ribosomal RNA
Source: RNAcentral
UCAAGGUUGGCGAGAACCCCGGGAACUGGGGCUAAUCCCAGAUAGAUGAGAACUCCUGGAACGGAUUCUCGUCCAAAAGGCGUCUAGGUCAUGCUUCUAGGCGUCGCUCAAGGAUGGGGCCGCGGCCGAUCAGGCUGUUGGUGAGGCAACGGCUCACCAAACCUUUAACCGGUACGGGCCGUGGGAGCGGGUGCCCGGAGAUGGGAACUGAGACAAGGUCCCAGGCCCUACGGGGCGCAGCCGUUGCGAAACCUCGUCAAUGCACGAAAGUGUGAACGGGCUACCCCGAGUGCCGUCCGCUGAGGAUGGCUUUUCUCUGCUGUAAGGAGGCGGAGGAAUAAGGAGAGGGCAAGUCUGGUGUCAGCCGCCGCGGUAAUACCAGCUCUCCGAGUGGUGGGGAUGUUUAUUGGGCUUAAAGCGUCCGUAGCCUGCCCUUCAAGUCUUUCGUUAAAUCCAGCGAUUCAAUCGUUGGACUGCGGGAGAUACUGUUGGGCUAGGGGGCGGGAGAAGCCGACGGUAUUUCCGGGGUAGGGGUAAAAUCCUAUAAUCCCGGGAGGACCACCAGUGGCGUAGGCGGUCGGCUAGCACGUGCUCGACGGUGAGGGACGAAAGCUGGGGGAGCAAACCGGAUUAGAUACCCGGAUAGUCCCAGCUGUAAACGAUGCGGGCUAGGUGUUGGAGUGGCCACGAGCCACUUCAGUGCCGCAGGGAAGCCAUUAAGCCCGCCGCCUGGGGAGUACGGCCGCAAGGCUGAAACUUAAAGGAAUUGGCGGGGGAGCAC